RNAcentral lists this ribosomal RNA (17 nucleotides) under Isaurus tuberculatus. RNAcentral's name for it is "partial 5.8S rRNA". The record is from RNAcentral. Lineage: Eukaryota; Metazoa; Cnidaria; Anthozoa; Zoantharia; Zoanthidae.
UGUCUGGCUGAGUGUCG